AAGCUGUCAGUCUUGUUGCUGAUGGUCUUGUAUGCUUUGGGAUAGUGAGUAAAGACAUCAGUUUGAAUUUCAGUCCAUUUCAUUAAUAUGAAAAAACUCUCUAUUGGAGCUUUAAACAUGAACAUGGAACCUGUACUCAUCAUUUUAGGAAAUUUACCAACUCGAGUUUUGGCAAUAUUAGACAUUACAGCUAGUUAGAGCCUUUGUCAGGUUGUUACAUGAAAACUAAGUGCUAAAUAAAACUAGUAUAAUUAGCACAACAUAGUUAGCUGUGCUGUUAGCAGAACUGCCAAGUUUCACAAAAAUGACAAGAGUGAGACUUUAGCGCUAUGAUGUGUUCGGACGCUGACCUGUGGCUGAAUUUUUUAAGGUCGAUUUAUACCUUAAGCGUGAUGUCCUCACCUUCAUGCCAGCAGUUCUCCCUGCACUGUGGUCUCCUAAUGCUAGUCUUAACCUACCGCCCUCCCUCAGGAUAACGUCAAAUGGCUUUUAAAUGUCGGCGCUGUUGUGUGUGAAAGGUAGUCAUAGACGCCAAGACCCGCCUUAAAUUGCUUCUGAUUGGUUUAUAUUGUGCGGUGCUGUCCAUGGUUGGUUAGAUUCAGGCACAAAGGACUGAUGGUCUGAGAUUGGUUAUCUCGGUCAGUCAAUCAGAGUUACUUGAACUACGGCAAGCCAAGGUUAUUAACAUGAAAAAAAUAAAUACAGAGUAUUGAAUGGGGAAAUAUAAGCGCGUGAAAUGUCAAGUGUGGCGUGUGGUACAAGAAUGAGUCAAAUUGCGUGACUGUCACACUCAAAGAGUGACGCUUGGCAGCUCUUUCAUAUUGUUUUGAAGAACAGACAGAGCUCCGUGAAUGAACCCAAACUGCAAGCAUGGCGAAUUCAAGCUCAACACAAACAUCAGUAUGAAUGCUUGGAAAUGAAACAUAUUUUUGUCGAUAGAUGUCCUAAAAUUUUCCUUGUUGCACCAUACAGGCUUUCAAAAUAUGUUUUUGCACAUAUCUGUAACAUAAGGGUCUCCUCAGAGCCAGAAGAUCUCCUGCUGUACGUCCCUUAUUCUGUGUUUCCUUUCUGUUAUACUAAUCUGGCUGCAGAGGAGGACAGGAUGUAGGUAAAUUCUGCUGAGAAAGAGGAUGUCUGGCUCACAUUAGAUGUUUCUGAGUCCAACCAGUUCACCGCCAAAGCUCACAUCAAAGCAAAUUUGCUUGAGCCGGAGCAAUAAAAGUCCCACUUCAGUGCAUCGUCUGGUUUUGAUGUGUUUGUUUAAGGACUUUGAAUGUUUCAGGUUAAAGGAGAGGCAUCAGAAAAUUCAAUGAAAACGGAAUAAUAAUUAGUGAUGUUUUAACUUUCUGCCCCUCAAAGGAGGCUUUUAAUGUGUGAUGGUGUUCCAGCAGUGCCUCAAGAUUGCUUUGCUUUGUGUUGUGUACGGGUAUUUAGGGAGGUUAAGCUUAUCCGCCCCUCUAAUGUGAUUAAUCCUCCAGUAAAUGUAUCAUUUGAUAAAGGAUUACUCUCUAUCUCUUUGUUGUCUUUUCACUCAGAGAAGAUCUUCCAAAGCCCAAAUGCAUCAACUAAUCUGUAUCCAAAAGUGCUCCGCUCAGACAAAAGCACUGUAUGCUAUUAGUGUAUGGGCUUACAUGACAUGAGAUCACAAAAGUUACUCUAACUCACUCAUCUCUUAAACAAAGACAGAAACUCCCUGACACAUGAUCAAAGGAUGUGUUCCUCUUAAGAUCCUUUUUUUCUCCCUGACUUCAAAGCUCUCAAACUUCUUACAUACUUCUGCUAGACAAAAAAGGGGGGAAUAAGCGUUCGUUUUGCUCCGAGCUGCAGACGGAGAGGUGAAAGCUGGCAGCAAACAUGAACACAACUAAUAAUACCUCCAUUGGUCUGUCUGCUCCUUUCAGGCUCUCUCUCUCUCUCUCUCUCUCUCUCUCUCCUGCUAUAUUUUGUGAAGGUGACAGCAUGGUGAGUCAGCUCGGACUUUCCAGUUUUCUUCCUCUUGAUCUCGCAGGAACGCGUCUCUCAUUGCCUUUCCUGGCAUCUGCAGCAGAUACACACACAUGCACACACACAUACACACACUUUUUAACAUACAGUUUUUCUCUCUUUUCUGGGAAAAACCACAUUUCACACAGGUAUUUAACAUCUCACCUCCUCCCUUCUCUUCAAUACUCGACUUUUUCCCUGAAGCAGGGCCCUGCUAACUCAUCUGAGGGGCACAGAGCGCUGGAAUCCCCCCCUGGGUCGAAGAUUAGGGCGUCUCCGAGAGACAGCCUCAUGUCACGGUAAAGCGUGAGGCUGAUCUUUUAACCUUUCUCUCCUCUGACUCGGUUUCCGCCACGGGGCUCGAGGUCUAGCUUGGACAGGUUAGGUGUACUGUUACUUGGGUGUGAGAGUGUGCCAAUGUGGAGUACAAUUUCACACCCUAACCUGAACCCUCUCUGAGAAAUACUGAGUGUUUCUUAGAUAUGGCAGAGUAAACACAACCCUCUGCACCUGAGCUGCACACAGCAGGUUUUUGGGGGUUAAGGAGACUGUGUAAAAUCCCCUGUCAUGAGUGUGCAUACACUGUGAUACUAUAGGCAUAACUACAUCUGCAGAAUGAAGAAGCAUAUCUCUUUUUCCUAGAAUCUUCUUGUAAUCAGAUAUAGCUUUGUUGACCAGUAAAGUUCAACUCAUUUUUAUUGCCUUACAUGUUUUGAUGCAGAAAUAAACAAACAUUUGAAACAAAAACAACAAACCGAACUGAUAAGGUGUAAAUCUUUCAGUAACUUCCAAUUUCAAAUAAGUUUGAUUUUGUUUCUUAAGGCAACAAUUCAAAAUCUAUUCUCAAUAAAAGAUAUACCUGAACACAUAAUGGAAGUCCUAAACCAGCUGCUUCUGUAUUCACUGGAGACUUAAAGCUCCUAUGAGGGUUUUUUUUCACAUUAAUGAAUCAUCCCAAAGUUGAUAUAAAUCCCUUUUUUUAAGAUAACCAAAAGCAAACAAGACCACCAGUGACAAGAUUGACCUUUGUUUUUUAACCCUAAUUGUUAAUUUCCAUGAAACUGGUGUAGGGGUUUAGGUGUCAGGCAAGUAACAGGGGAGGCAACCUUGUUUUUACCCAUUUCAAUCAAUUUCACAAUACAUGAUUAACUUGACUCAAAAGUCAGCAGGAUGUGAUUUUUUUGUGAGAUGAUACAACUUAAGCCCAUAGAGGGCGAGAGAUACGCAAAGGCUGCUUUGUCCAGAGGGGGCGCCAAAAUUGACUCAAUCUGGGAGAUCUUCACAGAAGCUUUAAUUUUAUAAGUAUUUUCUUUUUAGAAUUUUUAAAUAACCACACAUUAAUGCUGACUUUUUGUUAGCAUUAGACAAUCCUCACCAACCCCGACUUGAUGACAACGUCAAAAUCCAAUAUGGCAGCGCAGUGCAUAAACAGUAAAGUAACGGUGAAAGCUCUCGUAAUGUAUUAUUUAUUAGCAAUUCUGUUUUGUUCUUGUGAAAUUAAAUUGUGGUAUAUGUUGUACUGCCCAACGUCUAACUGCAAACACGGUGCUAUUGUGCUUGUAAGAGUAAAAUACUGUGUUAUGCAUUGUUCACAGCUGGUAUAGCUAACAACAACUAACAACAGCUGACAAUAGCUAAACACAGCUGACAAUUGUUAACAACAGCUAACUGUAGGCGUCCAUCUUAAGGUUCCAACUUGUUUACUGUCAACUUGGGUGUAACGUCAUUCCCAGCUCCGACAUCCGAGGUAACUGGAACGCAGCAUAAUACUGAAAUUAUUCUGCUGAGAUGCCACAAUGUCCCCAACUGUCAUAAACAGUCACAAGAACAUGAGACCCAAAUGCAGAGCACCAAGACACGAUUCACAGUCCACAAAAACAGUCCAAGCAGUAGUUCAGUACACGGGUGGUCAAAACACACAGGCAAAGGUAUCCACAAACCUUAAGGCAAAAGGCACAUCAGGGUCACAAAGAGAGUCAAAACGAGAGCUGGAACGUGAUAUGAAGUACAACGAACUGGCAACAAGACAGUGAAGGGAGCGAGGUUAAAUACACAGAGUAACGGGGAGUGAUGGGGAACAGGUGGUCUGAUCAGGAAUGAACAUCUGGUGUGACGAGACAGGAAGCAGGGGAGGAAGUAAAUGUCAAACAGAGACAGGGGUUAGUGAUUUCAAAAUAAAAGAGGAAACACAAGAUAUGACACAUGAGGGUGAGAGAAAGUACUUAACAGACAGGGAUUGUGACAUGAACAGUGGAGAAUACAUUUGCAGAAGAUGUGUGAGGGUGCAGGUCUGAGGAAACAAGACAGAUGAUGGAUUUUAAUAUGCUUUUUGACAGAUGAGAUUGGAUGGGAGUUUGGUUAUACUAUGUGCACUGGGAAGCUGUUAUUGACCUUUGCUUACUGCUUCAAACUUAGGUUGGCAGUUUGUGAGCUUGGGGAUUUCACAUUAUGUCAAGCUCCUUUAUACCUGGGUGAUUGUAGUAUCCAAAGUGCAAGACUUCACAUUAGGGUCUAAUCCACCUCAAACAGACCAGAAUCACCACCAAAGCUCAUAAUAAUGUCAAAGAGGUUUGACCAAUAAGAAACGAGUAUAUAACACAAUUAGUUGAUCAACAAAAGGGUAUGGUAAAAAAUGGUAAAAUAUUAUUGAAAAUCCCUGAUAUACUAAUGUUUAGUGUAUAUAUUUCAGUAUUUUGUAGAUGUGCAAAAUCUUUGUUCACCACAUGAACAUGCACUCACAUUGUUGCUGAAUCAGUCAUUUUGUGUAUUUGUUUUUUCAUUUGUUAUGUUCCUCUAAUUGUCAAUGGAGCAGAUUCAGAAUCAACUUGGAGUUUAUUACAGUGACAGGGCACACAAGGUUAAGUAAACAGAGCCUCAUGCUACCCUACUCAUUAUUUACAGUGUAUGGCCUAUAACUUGUCGCACUAUCAAUUUAAGAACAGCGUUCAGUGUAUGCACAGCUGCUUAUACUGUUCACUGUUUGCACCAAACAUUCAUAUAUCCAUUACACACAAGCACACACAAAAACGUGCGCACACAUGCACACAAAAACGUGCACCUGGCUUUUUUACUAAAUCUUUGAGUAAGGAGUUUUCUUACAAGUCACGAUCGCUGCCUCAGGCUGUAGCAUCCACCACCCACUCCAGAACGUGCUGGUUAAACACGGGAGCACAUUCAGUUGUUGGACUCAUUUCCCCUAAAUACACAACAGACUGUUAAAGGAAGUCAUUUGUACCUGUGGCCAUCAAACUUCAGAACUCCUCUCUCUGAGUGUCACACACUCUGUCUGUCCCUGGAAUUAUUUUACACUGUAAGCUUUGUAAUUAAAUCAAUUUAGCUGUGAAACCUGUUUGUAAAUUCAAUAAUCUAAGAGUGCAAUACUAAUAGUACUUUGCCCAUGAAGCUACAACCAUGCAAUACUCUGUUAAACUUUACAAUGUGCUAUAUCAGUACAAUGCUACAAACUGGUUUUGUAUACACUUCCUGCAAUCUUAGGAGAACAGCAGCAUACAAAAAAAUGCAUGUAAUGUAGAGUCUAAAGGAAACACAAACUCAUACCAUGAAAACACUUAACCAGAAAGAUAUGACAGAAGUGUCACUUAACAAGGGAGACGAUCCACUCAUGGUUUUAGUGAAAGAUUCAUAACAAUAGGUUAUGUAAGUGCUCAUAAAAAGAGGAACUUAAAGAAAAUAAAACACCCUUUGUGAUUUAAGAUGCUCAUUCACAGCAUUGUUCAUUCACAACCUCAGAGCUUUUUGGAAAACUGUUUUUUCAUCCAUGACGUCAUGACUUAGUCCACACAUGUCAGACAGUUGAAUCAGGCUGAUAAGAUCACCAGUCAGCAAACAAACACAUACACAAAGUGUUGAGGUUGAAUGGAUGGCUACAGUACAGCGGUAUAGUGGUAUACAGGAAAGACAGGUCUCCCAUCAACAGUAGGUGUGUUGCUGUAAAUAUAAGGACCGGGUCUUCCUAAACUUGUUGGGUCAAAAUCAGGUUUUAUAAGCAAAAACCAGAAGGCAGUAAAGCGGGGGGUCUGACAGGUAGAUGCAGGUACAGAGUUAGAUAACAAAGUUGACUGAUUACUAUCAGCCAGGCUGAAACGUGUGUUGUUGUGAGUGCAAACAGUCAGGAUGGAGAGCAAAGUGACAAUUAAAGCCCCAAAAGUCUAUUGAGUUUGUGUUUACACACGUGCAAAAGUCCGUAUCUGUAUGUGUGUGUUUACAUGUACAACAGCAGAAGCAUGCCUUUUAUUUGAUUUGUACAGGUGUGUGUGCGCGUGCGUGCGUGUGUGUGUGUGUGCAGUAUUUUUCCAACCUGUUCUGCCAUUAGAGACCAAUACAACAUCAGAAAUAAGUGGUUAAAAACAGGCAGAGGAGUGUGCCAGGGGAAACUACACCAGGUGCCCAAACCUAAGGUCAA
This is a non-coding RNA of Xyrichtys novacula (pearly razorfish), 6406 nucleotides long. Lineage: Eukaryota; Metazoa; Chordata; Actinopteri; Labriformes; Labridae. The record is from the annotation of a GenBank genome assembly.